RNAcentral lists this long non-coding RNA (11309 nucleotides) under Medicago truncatula (barrel medic). Its description in RNAcentral is "long non-coding RNA (MTRU_LNC003374)". Lineage: Eukaryota; Viridiplantae; Streptophyta; Magnoliopsida; Fabales; Fabaceae. The record is from RNAcentral.
CAAAUAACGAUGUGGGUCUUGACGGAAUGGUUAUAAAUGUUGCUAGUCUUUUAGCUGGAACCGUAACAAAUCCUUUUGGUAAUGGUUAUUUUCAAGGACCUAAAGAAGCUCCUUUGGAAGCUGCUUCGGCUUGCACCGGUGUUUAUGCUAAAGGAGCUUAUCCUGGUUAUGCUGGGGACCUUUUGCUGGACAAAACAAGUGGUGCUAGCUAUAAUGCAAAUGGUGAUAAUGGAAGGAAGUAUUUGUUGCCUGCUAUUGUUGACCCUAAAACCUCGGCUUGUUCUACAUUGGUAUAAAGUAAGAGUGUUUAGUUGUUAGGCAAUGAGAGAUUCUUUGAUUUGUUAAUUCAAUUAGUUGUUAUAGCCUCGAUAAUUCUUUGAUUCUUUGUAAUUUUAAUAAAUAAAUAAUAUCAAUAUUAUUAUGUCCUCCAUAAAUAAUGUUAUUGAAUGAAGCAAAGAUAUCAUAAUUUUACCAUUAUAGUUUUAUUAUAUACUGAUGCAUUAUAAAUAGAAAGUGAAAAAGAAAAAGAGCAAUGCUAUAAAUAAAUAGUGAAAAAUCUUGAGUUGAGAGUUAUGAUGAGAUUUGCAUCAAGCCCUAUAGUUGGCAAGUUGACUAUGAAUGUGACUAAUACACCGUUCAAUUCCAAAUCAAGCCAAGCUACUUAAUAUUAAAUUUAAUUUUUUUCCAUUUUUUCCUUUUUAAAAUAAAGGGUUGGGAGUGUUGAAGCACAUAGUAUAAAUUAAAUGGUAAAAUUGAAAAAGAAAUAGUUAAUAUUAUACUGAAAAUUGAAGUAAUACUCGAUUUUAGAUACAAUGAGUAUUUUGAAUGAUUAAAUAAUUCAAUUUCUUGAUGAAAUCAUUGUAAGAUCGUGUAAACUAAUUUCAUAUUUCGUCAUCGUGAGUUUAACUCAGUUGUUAUGUACAAUGCAUAAUAUAUAGAAGGUUUGUGGUUCGAAUCCCGACCACAAUUAAAAAAAGAAAACUAAUUUCAUAUUUCCAUAAACAACCCUUAAAAUAUUGCUAAAAAAGUAAAUAUGUAUGGAUAAAUGGCGUUAAUUUCAUAAAUCCAACUUCAACUAAUGCAUAUGCAAUGGUAAAAUAAUAAUUUUUUGGUCUAUGUUCUCUCUCUUUUUUUUUUUUUUUUUUUAUAUAUAACAAAGGUUGCCUUUUCUUGCCAUAAAAUAUAAUAAAGAUUAUCUUUAAAAAAAAAUUUGUUAAGGGUUUAGUUUAAAAUUAUAAUCUUAUCAUUAUUGUCAAUAUUAAUUUUUUAUCAAGUACGUUAGAAGUUAGAAUUUCACCUUUAAAUUGAAUAAGUCGUGAAUCCAAAAUUCAAACCUGAACCCUACGUUUAUAAUAUAAUGUCCCUAUCAAUUGAGUUAUACUCACGAAGACUCUUCAUUGUCAAUAUAACUCACAAAACAUUUCAUCAUAGUUGAUCCAUAAUAGAAUCCUCGCAAUUACUGACCAUAUUCAAUAUACAAUUACUACUAAAAAAAAGUGGAGAAUUCACCAACACCCUUUCAUUUUGGAACCUGUAGAUCAACAGACUAAUGUCAUGUUAGAGUCGAACUUGACGAUGGAUACGUCACCUAGUACAACUCAACAGUCUUUGGUGGCGGUUCAAGAAACAAAUACGAAUGCUACUCUUGGGCAUUAUGAGGCGUCAAUUGAUCCGACUCAACAAAAGGAAAUUAAUCUUGUUCAACAUUUGUUGAUUCAAAGAAAAUUGUUGUGGUACCAUUUACGCCUUAUCUUACAAAAGGUCAAAAAAAGAAAAUUAGCAAGGCAACAUAUCACAACAAAGGAUUGACCCCCAACUUAAGGCGACAACGCUCUCGAACCUCGCUCUCAUAACCGCUCGAGGGAGAGUAACCGUUGGACGACGAAUCUACCAUAUUCUCAGCAGUUUCAAAGCAAAUACUCAUCUUUGUCAACCCAAAAAACGAAGGAAAUGUACAAAAUGCAAAGGAAGAAAGGAAGUACCUUUGAAGUUCAAAGGUUUUUCAGAAAAAAGAGGCAAAACUUUGUAGAACCGUAAACCCCAGAAAUGCAGCCUAGAGAGGAAGGAUUUUCGCGCAAGUUGGUCGGAGGAAAAACUGGGAAAAGAAAACAAUACACUUCUAGGUGAAGUUUAAGAGUGAAUGCAGAAUAUCUGAAACCAUGAAGAUAAAGAGCGUAAAAGUUGGAAACAAAAAGUUUCCCUUCUUUUAUAGGCUUCAAAAGUAUCCAGAUCGACGAUUCAGAAGAGAAGAAACCUUGAAACCAAAGGUUUCUGAUUCAACGAUUAAUGGCAAUAUGACCUCGAACCACGAAGGGCACUCAAGUGGCACGCGCGUGAAGCGCAAAGGCCGGUGCGUGUGCGGGCCACGAAGCAUGCACGUGGAAAGUAAAACUAAACAACCAUCACGUUAUGAACGUUUCAGUUUGAAGCAUUAAAUGCCAACUGCUCCCACUAACUCGCAUGGGGCGCCACCUCCUCGAGGAAGGAAAAACUUCUCGCAAAUGUAAAACUACAGAGGCGCCAACAUGUGAAGGCGCCUGAUCGUAUGCCUCUCUUCACAGCUAAAAGCCAUUGCGCCUUAAAUGCAUCAACAGUUUUGGGGACAAAUGUUCUGGACCAGUUAGAAGACCAAUCUUACGUUGACACGUGGCCUGGCCUACACAGCCUUAAGGCUCUGCGCCUAAAGGAACACGCCAGCUUAAAUGCAUUGUGCCACACAGGAGCGCCCGCGAUGAUAACCUUACAUGUGUCCUCUAAUCGUCCCUAAUCACACGCCGCAAAACUCGAAGACGGUUACUCUCAACGCGCGCCUAUAUAAGGGUGACCUUGCUUCACCCCCAAGGUAUGAUUCACUUUUCACAACACCUUCUAAACACUCUUUCUCAAUUCCAUUACUGACUUGAGCGUCGGAGUGCUAACGUGUCUGAAGACACCUUUUGUCCCACUGCAAGGACUCGUCACCACCGUACCAGAAACCAUCACCGUCACAUCGGAGCACUUUCCACCACUGUUACCUCUCAUCCAUCCUCACCGGACAAAUCAAAACUUCUUCUGCAAACCUUUGAACCUUAAAACUUAUCUUAAACCUGAUGAACCCCCAAUCUCAACUCACGUAAACUUAUGAAGCAAAAAAAAAAAACACAAAUAAAGAAUAUAUAAAGAGAUCACCCAAAACAAGCGAAGAUAAAAAUUGCACAUUCUUGAUACGAGCAAAAUAAGUGCAAUUUUCUUAAAUUAUACUUCACAUAUCCCUCAUUAUAAAAUCCGUUGCAAAAAAAUUGUUUAUCCUUAAUACAUGAUUAUCCAUAAAUUUUAAGUACAUUGCUUUUUUUUUUUUCUUUUUUCUUUCUAAAUAUCAAUUAUUAAUAAGAGUUUAAUGGUGGUGGAUCGACAUUUCAAAACAUUUUUGCACACACAACCAAAAAACAUUCAGAAUUCUCACAUAAAUUAAAAAUAUUAAUUGGCGUGACGAUUUUAAAUAUUUUAAUUGAUUGUGUGCAAAAUUAUUUUGAAUUGUCGAUACACUACCAUUAAUCUCUAUUAAUAUUACCAAUCUAUCUUAGAAUAUAUUUUAAUAUAGUAACAUUGAAAAUAUUUACACAAAAAGAUAUUUAAUAAUAAUUAGAGUCGACAUUUGGAACAAAUUUAUUAUUUCUUCAACUUUUUUUUAGCACGAUUUUUAUAAGAGAUGAAUAGAAUAAAAGUGAUUGAUCAUCAAUCACGCAAAAGAAGAGUUGUUACGCUCUUCGAUGGAGAAUGGACCCAAAAGCUAGGGGCAUGCCUUGUACAAAGAAUACACAGCUUUGUCGUUUUGUUUCAUAGCUGUGCUGUUGCCUGUUACUGUCCCAAAUCAAUGAAUUCAUGCAAACUGGAAUAACAAAAUAACAACGCGUGAUAUAGCUGGCACAUCCACCACUCACUCCACUCAUCCUCCUACAUAAUUUAACUUCAACUAUAUAUAUACCUACAACUACAUCUUACAUUUCCAUCACCUCACAACAUUUCCACAUUCCCUUCUACUUCAUACUUUGUUCUAUCUCAAAAUGGCAUCUUUUAAGUUAAGUGUUAUCUUCACCCUUUUUCUCACAAUUUCACUACUUCAAUUGAGUUCAGCUAGGAAACUCACUGAAUCAGACCAACAACUUAAAUUUCAAUUCCACAAAGGCCCUCUUCUAACCGGUAAAAUUUCUGUAAACCUUAUUUGGUAUGGAAAAUUCAAACCAUCUCAACGAGCGAUCAUAACUGAUUUCAUAACCUCGUUGUCUUCUCCCAUAAAACCAAAAACCACAACACAACCAUCGGUUGCCACGUGGUGGAAAUCAACUGAAAAAUAUUACCAACUCACUAACAACAAGAAAUCAGUUAACCUAGCUCUAUCACUAGGUACUCAAAUUUUGGACGAGAAAUACUCUUUAGGAAAAUCUCUCACAACUAACCAAAUCCUUAAACUCGCAUCAAAAGGACAACAACAAAACGCCAUCAACGUUGUCCUAACAGCCGCUGAUGUGUUAGUUGACGGUUUUUGUUCAAGUAGGUGUGGAACCCAUGGUUCUUCUUAUGGUGCACGCGUGAAUGGAAAGAGAAACAAGUUCGCAUACAUUUGGGUUGGAAAUUCAGAGACACAAUGUGCUGGUCAAUGCGCGUGGCCAUUUCAUCAACCAAUUUAUGGUCCACAAAGUGCUCCGUUGGUUGCACCAAAUAACGAUGUGGGUCUUGACGGAAUGGUUAUAAAUGUUGCUAGUCUUUUAGCUGGAACCGUAACCAAUCCUUUUGGUAACGGUUAUUUUCAAGGACCAAAAGAAGCUCCUUUGGAAGCUGCUUCGGCUUGCACCGGUGUUUAUGCUAAAGGAGCUUAUCCUGGUUAUGCUGGGGACCUUUUGGUGGACAAAACAAGUGGUGCUAGCUACAACGCUAAUGGUGAUAAUGGAAGGAAGUAUUUGUUGCCUGCUAUUGUUGAUCCUAAAACUUCAGCUUGUUUUACAUUGGUAUAAAGAAUAAUUGUUUUGUUGUUAGGCAAUGAGAGAUUCUUUGAUUUAUUCAUUCAAUUAGUUGUUAUAACCUCGAAAUUAAUCUUUUAUUCUUUGAUUCUUUUUAAUCUUAAUAAAUAAAUAAUAUCAAUAUUAUUAUAUUGUCCUCCAUACAUGCAACACAUGUACAGACGGACGACGGUGCACAUGGCAUACUCUAUCCAUCUCAACGAUAAACAUUCACACAAAUCAAAUUUUAUUGAAUGAAGCAAAGAUAUCAUAAUUUUACCAUUGUAGUCUUACUAUAUAUCCUGAUGCAUAAUAAAUAGAAAGUGAAAAGAAAAAAAAAUAGAACGUGAAAAAUUGAGUUGAGAGUUAUGAUGAGAUUUGCAUGAAGCUUAUAGUUGGCCAGUUGACUAUGAAUGUGACUAAUACACCGUUCAAUUCCAAAUCAAGCUACUUAAUAUUAUUAUAAUUUUUUUUCCUUUUUUUGGUAUUAAAUUUAAUUUUUCCAUUUUUUUUUCUUUUUAAAAGAAAGAGUUGGGGAGUGUUGAAGCACAUAGUAUAAAUUAAAUGGUAAAAUUGAAAAAGAGAUAGUUAAUAUUAUACUGAAAAUUGAAAUAAUACUCGAUUUUAGAUAAACUUCUUUGGCAAAUGUCCCACUCAUAAUGUGACACAAUGAUUAUUUUGAAUGAUUUUUUUUUUUUUAAGAAAUUAUUUCAAUGACUAAAUAAUUCAAUUUCUUGAUGAUAUCAUCGUAAGUAGACAUGACAACACAACCCGUCCCCAUUGGAUCCCACCCACCCCGUCCCGAUUUUAAUGGGGAAAAGCCGAAUUGGUUAUGGGUGCGGGUUUGGAGAAAACCCGGAGUUUUAAUACGGGGGCGGGGGAUACUCACACUCGCCCUCGCCCCGUUUUUUUAAAUUACUAUUUUUAUCCUUAUUUUUUAUAGUCAUAUUACUCAUAUACCCUUCUUAAUCUUAACAUAGAAGCUUUUGUUUUAAUUAUCUUGCCACUAAACAUAUUUUUUCACGAUGAUGUUAUGAUCUCUAAUGAAUUUAGAAGCUUUUGUUAUUAGCUCUUUUUGUUAUUGUGAAAAAAUAAAAUAAAAAAUUGUCUACAAUUUUCGCGGGUGGGGUUGGGGAAAUCCGUCCCCGUUGGGGCAGGUCCGGGUGUAAAAUUUCUAUCCAGACGGGUUUGGGGGUGGGGGCGGGGCUGGGUACAAUGAAACAGGGACGGGGCCGGGUAUGUUAAAACUUGCCCCCGCCCCGUUGCCAUGUUUAAUUGUAAGAUCAUGUAAAUUAAUUUUUUUCCGUGAAUUUAGUUCAGUUGAUAAGGACAAUGCAUAAUAUAGAUAAGAUUCGAUUUUUCAGACAAAAAAAAAAAAAAAACUAAUUUAUUUCCAAAAACAACCCUUAAAAUAUUACUAAAGAAGUAAAUUUGUAUGGAUAAAUGGCGUUAAUUUCAUAAUUCCAACUUCAACUAAUGCAUAUGCAAUGGUUUAUAUAAAAAAGGUUGCCUUUUCUUGUCGAAAAAUAUAAUAGAGAUUAUCUUUAAAAAAAAAAUAAUGUUAAGGGUUCAGUUUAAAAUUAUAAUCUUUAUCAUUAUUGUCAAUAUUAAUUUUUUUAUCAAGUAGGUUAGUGUUAGAAUUUCAUCUUUAAAAUGCAUAAGUCGUGAAUCCAAAAUUCACACCAUAUCAACUAAGUUAUGCUCACGAAGACUCUUUAUUAUCAAUAUUACUCACAAAACAUUUCAUCAUAGUUGAUCCAUAAUAGAAUCCUCGCAAUUACUACCAUAUUCAAUAUACAACUACUAUUAAAAAAAAGUGAAGAAUUCACCAACACCCCUUCAUUUUGGAACCUCUAGAUCAACAGGCUAAUGCCAUGUUAGAGUCGAACUUAACGAUGGAUACGUCACCUAGUACAACUCAACAGUCUUUGGUGACGGUUCAAGAAACAGAUACGAAUGCUACUCUUAGGCAUUCUGAGGCGUCAAUUCAUCCGACUCUACAAAAGGAAAUUGAUCUUGUUCAGCAUUUGUUGAUUCAAAGAAAAAUGUUGAGGUGCCAUUUACGCAUUAUCUUACAAAAGGUCAAAAAUAGAAAAUUAGCAAGGCAACAUAUCACACCCGAUCUAUGAAUUCCCCUAUAGAACCGAAGGGUGGUUGAGCAGCCUCUUUUUCUUUUGGGCCAUUUUUUUCUUUCUUCGUUUAGUUUUUUUUUGUUUUUUUCUCUUACUUUCUUUCGGUUUUGUUUUGAGGGUUUUGGUUUAGCCCCCUCUUGUAUAGUUUCUUUCUUUUUUAUUUAUAUUAUGAGUGGGUGGCAGUGUAAGGCUUUCUUGAGAUGCCAACGGUGUUGUGAUGUCCGAAUGAUCCACUCGAAAAUCAGUUGUUAGAAUUAACAGGUCUUCAAAUCGUUCAUUUAAAAAAAAGGAAACCCGAUUUUUCAAACUCUCAUUGUUGUUUUAACUCGCUCUAUUUUAUUGAAAAAAAAUAAAAUACAUUUACACUUUGCAAGACUAUAUCUAUGUGUUUGUGUCUUGUUAGACUUUGUAGAUCUCUUGUUAUUUGUUAAUAACUUGAUAAUUUUAAUUUAUCUGUAUAUUUAUGUUUUUUUUUUUCUUCCAUGUCUUGCUAAUAUAUAAGCAUUUGUGUUUGACCAUAAAGUUUAUUAAAGAUUUUAGUAUUUUUCAAUAACAUUUUUAACUUACUAAAAUGUAUUUUCUAUUUAUAUACACGUUUAUUUGUUUUGAUAACUAUUUUAUUGGUGCAAAAUAUCUACCAAUAAUAUUAAUGAUUAUUCUCCGCUUCAGAACCUAUUUUUCAAAUUCAAGGGAUCUCCUCUCGGAACAACAUAUUUUUCAUCCACCGUGCGUGGAUCUGAGACCUUAAGAGAUCCGAGUAAAAUUCCACAAAGACCAACAUAAUGUUAGUGUGUAUAUAUUUAUUGAGUGUAGCUACCGAUAGUUGAUGCUUAUUCUGCGAAACUAGAAUUUUCAAUGACAUCUAUUUGUUUUAAUUAAUAUUACAUAUAUAGAGACUCAAUAAUAAUUUUAUGUGUUCUAAAUUUCUACAUGAUCCUAUCUUUGUUGUUUUGUCUAGUUUUCCACUCGUGCCGAAUUUAAUUGAGCAGUGUUGACAACACUUUUGUUUUAACAUUCUCUUCAACAUUUACUUUUUUAUUUGCUUAAAUCAAAUAGGUGUCACACUUUAAAAUUGAAUUACACUUGUUAUGGUCAUAUAUUAACGUCAUCCAAUAAAAAAAUAAGUGUUGAUGAGAAUGUUGAAAAUAAAGUGUCAUCAAAAUUUCUUAUUUUAAUUUGAACAUGUUGUGUUUAAAUCUCAUUUUUCACAACAAAUGUGAUGUUUUACCGAUACCCUAAUGUGUGUACGAGGGUAUGAAGGUAAGACUAAGAACUAAGAAACUAUACGGUAUAUAUACUUUAUCUCAUUUUUUGUUACAUUGCAUCAAAAACCCACAUGAUAUGUCAUGUUAGCCAUGUCAUCUAACUUAGAUUGAAAGAUGAAAUUAAAGACUAAACCAAUGGGGGCUAUUCAGAGAAAUUUAUUGGAUCAUCUUAUGUCGUUUUGUGGGUUAGGGGGUAUGUCAAAAAUGUUCGGGUGGCUCUUAACAUCAUUUGGGUUUUGGAUGUGUGGGGUUAUUUAGCACCAGAGAAAUAGACUCAAAUUCAAUCAUAAGGAGGAAUAUUUGCAAUCUUAUGCGAAAAAGUUAAGCUUUAAUCAUUUUCGUGGUUGAAAUUAAGAUAUAUUACUUUCGAUUUCGAUUAUCAUUUUUUGAGGCUUAAUCAUAUUCAUUGCCUAACUGUUCUAACUUAGCUUAUUGUAUCUUCUUUUGUUUUGUUUAUCUUGUAAAGUUAAGUCGUUUCUGAUACAUCUUGUGCUGAAAGAUUUGUUUUGGUUGGUAAUUUAUAUAUUUCAUUUUGGUCUCUUAGAAAAAACUAACAAUGGGGAUAUAGGGAUUAAAAAAAUUGUUAAAAAAACAUAGGGAUAAGAUCUAAAAUAGAGAAUUGAAUGACUAAAAUUGGCUAUUUACAUAAGUAUACGUAUGGAAGUUUUGCAAAUGUCCUUUUAACCUUAAAACUUAUCUUAACAUUGAUGAGUCUGAAUCUCAACUCUCGUAAACUUUUAUGUAAAAAAAAAAAAAAAAAAACACAAAUGGAGAAAAUAUAAAGACAUUACCUAAAACAAGUGAAGAUUAAAAUUGCACAUUCUCAAUACAAUCAAAUUAAGUGCAAUUUUCUUAAAUUAUACUUCAUAUAUCGCUAAUUAUAAGAUCUGUUUUAUUUUUAAAGGUCUAAUUAUAAGAUUUGUUACAAAAAUUUGUUUGUCCCUUAAUACAAAAGUAUCUAUAAAUUUUGGGGUAAUAGUCCCUUUGGUCCAUUAAUUUGUAAUGAGCAGUUACAAUGAUCCUUAAAUGUAUAAAAGUAUCAAAAUAGUCUAUGAUUGUGCAAUUUGUUAGUCAAAAUAGUCUUUGAUGUUAAAAUACUUCAUUAAUAUUGUCAUAUUACCCCGUCAAUAUACUUACUUAUUGUCAUAUCAGUCUUUAUAAAUACUUAAUUAUUGUCAUUUUAAUCCUUAUAUGAAAAGAGUUAUUGUGAACGUACAUUGAGAGAUUACUUUAGCGCCAGAGACCAUUUUGAGUAACAGAGUGCACAAUCAGAGACUAUUUUAAAAUUUUGAUAUAUCGAGAGACUAUUGUGACUACUCAUUACACAUUCAAGAACCAAAUGAUUAUCCCAUAAAUUUUUAAAUACAUUGAUUAUUUUUUUUCUAAAUAUCUAUUAUUAAUACAACCACUCUAUCUUAGAAUAUAAAAAAUAUUUACAUUGAAAGUAUUUAUACAACAAGAUAUUUUAUAAUAGUUAGAGACAUUUGGAACAAAUUUAUUCUUUCUUAUAACUUUUCUUAGCAUGAUUUUUAUAAGAGAUGGAUAGAAUAAAAGUGAUUGAUCAUCAAUCACGCAAAAGAAAAGUUGUUACGCUCUUCCAUGGACAAUGGACCCAAAAGCUAGUGGCAUACCUUGUACAAAGGAUACACAGCUUUGUCGUUUGGUUUCAUACAUGUGCUGUUAAUUGUCCCAAAUCUAUGAAUUCAUGCAAACUGGAAUAAUAAAAUAUCAACGCGUAAUAUAGCUGGCACAUCCUCCACUCACCCUCCAACAUAAUUUGACUUCAACUAUAUACCUUUCUAUUUUACACGUUAAUUAAUUCCUUUUAAAUACACUUUCCACUAUAUAUAUACCUACAACCCCAUCUUACAUUUCCAUCAGCACAUAACAUUUCCACAUUCCUUCUACUUCAUACUUUGUUCUAUCUCAAUACAUAUCCCAAAUGGCAUCUUUUAAGUUAAGUGCAAUCUUUACUCUUUUUCUCACAAUUUCACUACUUCAUUUAAUCUCAGCUGCUAGAAAAUUCACUGAAUCAGACCAACAACUUAAAUUUCAAUACCACAAAGGCCCUCUUCUCACCGGAAAAAUCUCAAUCAACCUCAUUUGGUAUGGAAAAUUCAAACCAUCUCAACGAGCCAUCAUAACUGAUUUCAUAACCUCCCUCUCUUCUCCUAAACAAGGAACAACCACAUCACAACCAUCCGUUGCCACGUGGUGGAAAUCAACCGAAAAAUAUUACCAACUCGCGAACAAUAAGAAAUCAGUUAACCUAGCUCUCUCACUAGGUUCUCAAAUUCUCAAUGAGAAUUACUCAUUAGGAAAAUCUCUCACAACUAACCAAAUCCUUAAACUCGCAUCAAAAGGACAACAACAAAACGCCAUCAACGUUGUCCUAACAGCCGCUGAUGUGUUAGUUGACGGUUUUUGUUCAAGUAGGUGUGGAACACAUGGUUCUUCUUAUGGUGCACUCGUAAAUGGAAAGAGAAACAAGUUCGCAUACAUUUGGGUUGGAAAUUCUGAAACUCAAUGUGCUGGUCAAUGCGCGUGGCCAUUUCACCAACCAAUUUAUGGUCCACAAAGUGCACCGUUGGUUGCACCAAAUAACGAUGUCGGUCUUGAUGGAAUGGUUAUAAAUGUUGCUAGUCUUUUAGCUGGAACCGUAACCAAUCCUUUUGGUAAUGGUUACUUUCAAGGACCAAAAGAAGCUCCUUUGGAAGCUGCUUCGGCUUGCACCGGUGUUUAUGCUAAAGGAGCUUAUCCUGGUUAUGCUGGGGACCUUUUGGUGGAUAAAACAAGUGGUGCUAGCUACAAUGCUAAUGGUGAUAAUGGAAGGAAGUAUUUGUUGCCUGCUAUUGUUGACCCUAAAACCUCGGUUUGUUCUACGUUGGUAUGAAGAAACUAAACAAAAGAAUGUGAAUGUGACGUCUCUUCGUGGU